RNAcentral lists this ribosomal RNA (454 nucleotides) under uncultured bacterium. Its description in RNAcentral is "bacterial SSU rRNA". It matches the Rfam family "Bacterial small subunit ribosomal RNA", at positions 18 to 456 of the family's 1533-position model. The record is from RNAcentral.
CCUGGCUCAGAACGAACGCUGGCGGCGUGCCUAACACAUGCAAGUCCAACGGUGAAAGGGGAGCAAUCCCCCGGUAGGGUGGCAAACGGGUGAGUAAUACAUGGGUGAUCUACCUUAGGGAUGGGGAUAUCCUUCCGAAAGGAGGGGCAAUACCGAAUAUUGUCCGGAGCCGUGAAGGGUUCCGGGGAAAGGGAGGCCUCUGAUACAAGCUUUCGCCUUAAGAUGAGCCCAUGGCCCAUCAGCUAGUUGGUAGGGUAAAGGCCUACCAAGGCUACGACGGGUCGCUGGUCUGAGAGGACGACCAGCCACACUGGCACUGAGAUACGGGCCAGACUCCUACGGGAGGCAGCAGUGAGGAAUAUUGCGCAAUGGGGGAAACCCUGACGCAGCAACGCCGCGUGUGGGAAGAAGGCCUUCGGGUCGUAAACCACUUUUGCACGGGACGAAAAAGGGA